CCUACGGGAGGCUGCAGUGAGGAAUAUUGCUCAAUGGGCGCGAGCCUGAACCAGCCAAGUAGCGUGAAUGAUGACUGCCCUAGGGGUUGUAAACUUCUUUUAUAAAGAAAUAAAUUGAGGUACGUGUGCCUUUUUGUAUGUACUUUAUGAAUACGGAUCGGCUAACUACGUGCCAGCAGCCGCGGUAAUACGGAGGAUCCGAGCGUUAUCCGGAUUUAUUGGGUUUAAAGAGAGCGUAGAUGGGUUGUUAAGUCAGAUGUGAAAGUUUGCGGCUCAACCGUAAAAGUGCAAUUGAUACUGGCAGACUUGAGUGCAGAUGAGGUAGGCGGAAUUCGUGGUGUAGCGGUGAAAUGCUUAGAGAUCACGAAGAACACCGAUGGCGAAGGCAGCUUACUAAACUGCAACUGACAUUGAUGCUCGAAAGUGUGGGUAUCAAACAGGAUUAGAUACCCCGGUAGUC
RNAcentral lists this ribosomal RNA (460 nucleotides) under uncultured bacterium. Its description in RNAcentral is "partial 16S ribosomal RNA". It matches the Rfam family "Bacterial small subunit ribosomal RNA", at positions 338 to 795 of the family's 1533-position model. The record is from RNAcentral.